UUCACUCGUUCACUUUUUUAGAUCAACCCAGGAGGGUCCAGCGGAUGCCCCAUUGAGCCCGCAAGGUCCUCUUCCUCCUCCCUGGCCCCCCGGGAGGCGGGGGUGCGGCAAGUAUCGGAUCUGGGGACCAGUCAGCGCAUCCACGCGGCGGGGAGACGCUGCGAGAAAGUUCUCCCAUGAAACAGGAGGGAGACACGGCGGCAGGUCCCUUGAGAACCUGGACACGCAAGAUAAACCGGCGACGCGGCAAACGGCCCGGAGAGGAGAGUUGCAGGCACAGAGGCGGGGAGAGGCGAGCAGCAGACCCCGGCGCCUCCCCCACCAUUAACUCCAGCGCGCCCCGCCCCGCAGAAGGGGGGGAAACCAGAACCGCCGCGGGACCCGCAGGACGCGAGCAGAAGGGAGGCGCUUCAGCGGCCACACCUGCGGCCAGGGGCGCUGUGGGGACCCGCCACGGCCGUGAGCCAAGGGCGCUGGGUCAUAACAGACUCGGCGCCCCCAGAGCAAGGCGGGGACCCCGCGGAGACCCGCCAACAGCCAAGGGCAGCCGGGAGCGCGGGGAGCACCGGCGGGUGCGGCUGCCCAGGUCCCCGCCCGCGCCCUGGGGCUGUGGGGAGACGCGGAGCCGGCGCUGGGGGCCCUGAGGCAUCAGGAGAGCGGGGGAGAGACAUCCCAUGCUGGGCGGAUGAGAAGGGGGUGACUCAGCUUCUCUCUGAGAGUAAAGCCAACCUCAGAGAGGAAAUGUUCGGAGGCUUUGCAAGUAGCUGAGUGACUGAAACUGUUCCCGGUUUUGCUGCUGUCACAGCCUGGCAGGGAAGGCGAGACCUGGACCCGGGCGCCUCUCUAAGCUUUGAUUGUGGCCAUUCAUCAGGUCUUUCGGCCGCUGCAGCAGCUGUUUUGAGUGUCACUUGUCUGGUGCUGUGCUGGGGCAUCUCGGCAGCUCCGUUGAGCAUCUCCUGUUGUGUCUUCUGCUGUCUUCGUGAGUUGGAUCCCGGCCUAUAGUCUGGCAGCCACGUGCUCCAGGCCCUCAGUGGCAGGAAGACGCUAAUUGGGAACAUUUGUGUUUAGGACUUUACAACACUGGACACUGCUUCAUGUGAGGCUCUAACAGCAGCAAAGAUGGGAACAGGUGAAGAAGCUGUGAUUGCUUCUCAACCUUGGACAUGUGCCAGAGACUUGGGGGGACAUGGAAGGAGACACUGGAAACAGACAUGGGUGUAGUCCCCAUAGAAGUUCCUCCACCAGUGCAACCAUGCACCAUCCCCACAGCUCCCUGUGCGCCUCUCUCCCUUAGGCUCCCCUGAAGGAUGUCUCUGGUUUAUAAUUGUGUUUUGUUUUGUUUUUUGUUUUGCUUUGUUAUGUUUUGUACUGUUAUUAUUUUUCCCCUACGUCUUAUUUGUUUCCCCUAUAUUCCUCCUAUAUGUGAAGCCAUCUGUUCUUUUUCUUUUCCUUCUGACUUAUUCACUGAGCAUAAUUCCUUCUAGCUCCUUCCACGUUGCUGCAAAUCGGAUGAGUUUGUCUUUUUUCAUCACUUAGUAAUAUUCUAUUGUCUAAAUAUACCAAAACCUUUUGACUCAUUUGUUGAUUUGGGGGUAUUGGGUUUGUUUCCAUAUCUUGGCUACUGUAAAUAUUGCUGAAAUAAACAUAGCAGUACAGUUUUCCUUUUGAAUUAGUGUUUUUAUGUCCUUUGGGUAGAUUCCUAGGAAUGGAAUUGCUGGAUCAUUAGGUAGAUCCAUUUGUAGUAAUUUGAGGGUCCUCCACACAGCUCUGAAUAAUGGUUGGGCCAGUUUGCAUUCCCACCAGCCAUGCAGGAGAGUUCUUUUUCUCCACAUCCUCUCCAACAUUUGUUGUUUCUGUUUUUUUCAUUUUUAAUGUGGGCAUUCUCAUGGGACUGAAGUGUACCCCAUCUUCUUGAUCCAUUCAAGAUCCCCUGAUUUAAAAUACAAUGAGAAAAUACUUCACACCUGUGAGAAUGGCCCAUAUCAAAAAAAAAACAGACCUAACAAGAGCUGGUAGGACAUGGAGAUAAGGGACGGUCCUGCACUGAUUUGGGGAAUAUAGACUGGUUCAUCCCUGUUGGAAAACAAUGUCCAGUUUUCUUAGAAAAUUAACUGAGCAUCUGCCGUAGGACCCAGCAGUCCCAUUCCAAGGUAUCUACCCUGCCUCAGACGCCCAUGAGAAGUUCUCAGCUAUGAAUUGGAUUCGAAGUCUAAAUGAAUUAGCAGCAGGGGGAGGCUGGAGAGAAGCCUCUAGAGCAGCUCUGCCUCUCACUCUCCCAGCCCAAGCUCUUAUUAAAGAUAUGAACAAAGGGAUAAGGAAACAGCGCACAAUUGUGUUUAUACUUAUACACUGAAUAAGUUACUGCUGGAACAAGUUUUUCUAGUUAGUAGGGAUCAUGCACACAAGUCAGCAUGUCCUCAGGGAACAGGAUUUAAUUUGGGGAAGAAGUUCUGCUUGCAGAACUUCUAACCUCCUGGAACCUCCUGUGCAGAGUAAGCAGGUGCUCUCAGAGACUCCGGCUCCCUUUAGGGCGGCAGGCACCAGCAUACCUUCAGAGGAUGUUACACUACUUCACAGGAAAACUGCACCCCCCUGAUCACUGCAGCACUAUUUACAGUAGCCAAGCUGUGGAAGGGGUGGUACAUAGAUAAUAGAAUACUACUCAUCAAGAAACAUAAACUCAUGCCAUCUAAGGCAACACGGAUGGAGCUAAUUGAAAUAAGCCUAAUGGAGAAAGACAAAUGUAUCACUUAGAUGUGGAUAUACAGAAAUUAAACAAAGGGCUAGAUUAAGCCAAACUUAAAAGCUAUCCCUUGAGUCUCCCAGGUGGUGCCUGACUGCUGACUGGGUCUGCAGACCAGCCAGGCUUCUUGGCCCACCAGUGCUGGGUGGACUGACCCUCUGUAGUUUGGCAUCAAACUCAUUUGACGACAAAGCCUGACUCCCGCUGACUAAGUCCCCGAUAGUGUUUUGUUGCACCUGUACCACCACUGGGUCCCCAGCCUCUGCUGUUUGCUGGGUCUGAGAUGGAUCUUGUACCUGAUGCUGCAGGGUAUUCUUUUUUUUUUGUUUUUUUAAGAUUUAUUUUUUUAUUUAUUUAUGCAUAUCAGAACUGGGGUGUAGGCCAGAGGUGCAGAGGGUGAGAGGAUUCACCAGAGACAGUGUGGGGAGCCAAACAGGCCAAUUCACUGAAACCACUGCUGAGGGGAGCGGUGGGUGAGACAGACGAGGUCUGCUGCGCCAUGUGGGUAGCUCCCUGGCAGGGGGUCAAACUCAGUUCCACACAGUGAUAACACUGAUACUUAACCCUGAUGCCAUCAGAGAGGCCUUGUUUUUAAUUUAUUUUUUACAUCUUUGAUAUUAUUUAAAAUAAUAGAAGGGGACCAGUUUGUGCUCCUGCUUCUCUGCUUUCAUAAUAUACACACUCCAUCCUGCCAGCACAGGGCUCAGGUUGGGUUUACACGUGUGUUUGUCACGUUUGCUCAGUGUCCAUCUCUCCUGACAGUGCAAGCUCCACAUCUCCAGGGUCCUCUGUCUGCUCUCCAUUGUAUCUGCAGGGGAGGCAGCUUGGGGAGGCAGGAGCCAGCCAGGGAGAGGGAUGCUGGGAAGUGAUGAAGAGAACACUUGGGAGAUGCUCCCUGGUUCCCUCAGAAAAGCAUUUCUCAAAGUGUGGUUGUGGAAUCAUUGAAGUCACCCAGAACUUGUCACAAGGUCCAUGAGGUUAAAACUAUUUUCAAAAUGUCACUUAGACACCAUUUGUCUUUUCACUAUUCUGACAUCUGCUGAGGUAAAACUUAGUAAAAAUGGAGCUUAUAGUACUAACUGCAGUAGUAGUUAAUAUUCACCACUUCUUACCUCAGAAGCACAAUUCCAAGCCAGUUUCAUUUCAAAGUGUCUUGGCUGAAACACUGAAAAUUAUCUUCAUUAUUUUAUAAUCCUCAAAUCCACAUUUUACAGCACCUGAUAUGAUGACAUGCAAGUGCACAUGCACACAGAGCACUUCUGCUGCGUUCCCAACUACCACGUGCCAAGGAACAUAUUUGCAUGAGAUGAAUUAGACUGUUUUUCUUUUUUCGUAGGCAAUACCACCUUCACAUGAACGAAUGAAUGACAAAAACUGUGGCUAUUUGAUUUGGUUAAUGAGCAGACAUUGUCCUGAAAAUGAGUGUGUGCUCCUUUAAGAAAAUCAACUGACAAUUGAUAACUGACAGUAACUUUGCCUUGACAAAAUGAGGACAAGGAGGAAGCUACACUCAGGCUGCAACAGCCACAGUCCCAGUGCUCUGAAGUGUAUCUCAGACCUUAAAGGGUAUUAGACAGCCUUCCGUGGGCCUGAGUGUUACAGGAUUUCUUUUCGCCCAUAUUGUGUGGCUUUAUGAUCCCCUGGUUUAAACCUUCACACCUGCAAGAAUGGCCCAUAUCCAAAAGACCAGAAACAACAAGUGCUGGCAAGGAUGAAAAAAGGGGACAGUCGUGCACUGUUUUUGGAUAAAGACGGAGCCAGCCCUUAUGGAAACAGUACGGAGGUUUCUUAAAGAGUGAAUGUGGUUCUGCCAUUGGACCCAGCAAUUCUACACUGAGGAUCUACUCACAGAGGAUAAAUACUCUCCUGUGAAGGGACCUGCACUCCUGUCACCACUGCAGCACUAUUUACAGUAGCCAAGCUAUGGACACCACCUGAAUGCCCCAGACAGCCGCCCUCUCUGUAGUGUCUCUACUCAGCAGUGUUUGAGCAGCCCCAGGAGUCCCUGCACCUCCUGCCUCUGACCUUGAGGGAAACCAGCCCCUCAGCCUGCUUGACAGUGAGGAGGUAAAGGCAAAGUCCUGAGGGGCAGGACCAAUGUGCUAUCCAUAGAAAAGAGAGGUUCCAGGUUACCGCCCUGCCCAAGGAAAGGUGGGGCUGAGCAGGGACGAGAAGCUAAGGAAGAGGAGGAAGACGUGGAGUGAGAUGAGGAAAGGACUGGAGGAGGCGCAUGGAGCAGAGAGACAGGUGAAGAAGAAACCACACUUGCUUCUCACUUGGACUUGUGCCAGGGAGCUGGGGACUUGGAAAGAGACACGUGAAAGACAAAAACGUGAAUGAGAGACCCAUCGGGAGGCUGACCCUUUCCCAUGGGUCUCUACCAGUAGGUGCCUUAGCCUUGUGGCAGGCCUUCGGGCCCCAGUGGGCCUGCUUUGGGCCAAGCCUGUUUGGCUGGGCAUUUACCCAUGAGGGGACGGGUAACUUUGGGUGCUUCACUUGGGAAAUAUUCGAACUAUAUUCUUUCUCUUCUCUCUCUCUACUGCACUGAUUCUCUAUUUUAUAGUAAUUAUAUUAAAGUUCUUUUCCAUUGAAGGUCUUAUGCUUUAGAGUAUGUUUUGUCUUUAUGCAGCUGUUGGCAGAUCCCAUAUAGAGUGUGCGGUUUUGAGGGUCCAGGGAACCCCUCAUUCUGCCCACUAACAGGAUCAGACAUCAUUCCCACCCACCAUGUGCCAGAGUUCCUUUUCUUCCACACCCUUCAAUGGGCCAUUCUCACAGUGUGAGGUGGUAAGUCAUUAUGGUUUCAAUUGGCAUUUUCCUGACCGCACAUGACCAGCAUUUAUCCAUGUACCUAUUGGCCACAUGUGUGUCUUCUUUAGAAAAAGUACCUAUUUAGCUCCUCUGCCCGUUUUGAGUUGUUUCUUGUUUUGGAGUUCUUUGUAGAUUUUGGAUAUUAACUCCUUGUUGGAUUGAUGAUGUGCAAAUAGUUUCUCCGAUUUGAUAUUGUCUUGUCAUUUUAAUGCUAGUUUCCUUCACUAUGUGGAAGCUUUUUAGUCUGAUGUGAUUCUAUUGGUUUCUUUUUGCUUUUGCUUCCUUGGAGCACAGAAGGCAUUAUGGGCAGUGAAAAUACUCUGCAUGAUAUUCUCAUGGUGGACACAGGUCAUUAUACAUUUGUCCAACACCCUGAGAAUGGACAACACCAGAGUGAACCCUGAGAGAAAUCAUGACUUUGUGACUGUGACAUGCAGGUCCAUCACUUGUAAUUGACCUGUCAGUCUGGUCUUAACAUGUGAUUUAGACAUGAUGUAUGAAGAGUUUUAUAAAUUGAGGAAUAAAGUGUAAUUU
This is a long non-coding RNA of Talpa occidentalis (Iberian mole), 6085 nucleotides long. RefSeq lists it as uncharacterized. The transcript has 10 exons. NCBI's taxonomy places the organism in Eukaryota, Metazoa, Chordata, Mammalia, Eulipotyphla, Talpidae. The record is from RefSeq and is a predicted model, not a curated record.